RNAcentral lists this long non-coding RNA (4623 nucleotides) under Prunus persica (peach). RNAcentral's name for it is "long non-coding RNA (PPER_LNC008086)". The record is from RNAcentral. Lineage: Eukaryota; Viridiplantae; Streptophyta; Magnoliopsida; Rosales; Rosaceae.
GAAUAUGAAUCAUGAAUCAAACUUGAAACUCAAAACUUCAACUUAUAAACCCAGAAUAUUCAUGUUAGGUUACAUCAUAGCCCUAGUUAUGAAUUUAGCUACUCAUAAUGGAAAUGAAACUUAAGCAAAAAUGAGAAAACAUAUUGAAUGCAAUAAGAGUAGAGAAACCCAAUUCUGAAGUUGCUUGUGGUUUCCAAGGCUUUUCCAGGUGCUUCUCCACGUCUAAUGCUACUCCAAGAACUUUCUCAUGUCUAGAGUAUGGCAACUAAAGAGGUGAUUUGGGAUGAGUUUGGGUGGUUGGUGAUGGCAGAGAAAGAACAAAUUCGUAGGAAAUGGAAGGAAGGCUUGUUGGAGUUCUUCCCCAUGAUUUUGGGCUGAAUCAAGUGAUAUAAGAUGGCUGGAGUGAAUUCUUGGUCAAUAGAGUGACUCCUUUGCACUUGAGUAGCUGACACACCUCCCUAAAUUGCUCAACAUGUCAGGUCUAAAGUCAAGGAAAGCUGUGGUGAGUCACAUGGCUCAAAGAAAGUAUCCAAGGCUCAAAGAAAGUAUCCAAGGCUCAACAACUGGAAACUGCAAUCCUGAGCCUGGUGUGUAUAUGGGCUCACGAAUUGGGCUCAACUUCAUUAUCUGAUGCAUUUGAGUAGUCCAUCUUGAAGUUCAGACUCUCAUCUUUCCAACUACAUAUUAGUUGGGCCAAUCCAAGUUCGGAGAAAGAUGUUAAGCCCAAAAUGAGUUGCUAACCCAGUCUGCUCGUUUUUGCACCAUUUUGCAUCUUUUCUUAUCCAAAGACACCAUUGCUACCUAAGGCCCAAUGAACUGAAUGAUAAACAGAAAAGGGAUUAAAAGCACACGUUUGACUCAAUAACAUAACCAAAUCAUAAGCUAGAAGGGUACAAAAUGAUAUACAAUUGUGAACUGAUCAAAUACCCCCAGACCUAGAUUUUGCUAGUCCUCGAGCAAAACAAAAGAGAAUAAAGUUGAAAACAAAACAAGAAGUUAACUAAACCACUUCUGUAGGUAACUCGAUUGCAAUGUGCAUAUGCAACAAGCCUUUAAACCUCUCGGCAUCCCUAAUCGGAAGAGUUGUGUCUCCUGAGGGUUUAACAGAAACGAUACCCACAAACACUUUACUGACUCUCUAACACCAAAAGGUUAGAAAACUAACUUUGAAAACAACUAAUGAAAGAAAACAUUAAUCAUGCAUCCAACACCAUAGAGUUACCAAGAUAGAUGAUCAAUAAGUGUGUAAAGUGGAAGCUAUAGCUCAAAGGCACACGGCUUCAAAGUAAACAUACUCAAAUCUUGAAGGAAGAACAUGCUUCAACUCUAAUUCUCACAUCUAGCACUCCAUCACUCAGAACCUAUGGUUUUAUUCUCUCAAACAAGCAUAAGUGAGUAUAUGAAAUAGAAGCACAAUAUUUGGUUAGAUCUCAUGAAGGGAAUCAAAUACUAAGAGUAGAGAUACACACAUACAUACCAGCACCCAUGAAUACAUCCUCAAAGAUCAGCUAGGUCUUUCACAAGGUUGUAAUGAAAGGCUAAGGUUAAGGGAAGUGGAAGAAUUGGAAGGAACAUAACUAACUUAAGAACAUACCAAGGUUGCAUUCUUCAUUGAUCUGCAAGGUAUCAUUGAUUUAGAAUGGUAUGGCUGCAACUUCAUAGCAUCAUCUGGCAUAGACUUUAUAUUUCACAUUUAGAUCAAAUCGAAACACUUUCUCUUUAUCUUUUUUUUUUUUUUUUUUUUUUUGACUUGAUCUACUUCUUCUUUAACUUUAUUGCAUAGAUUCACACCAAUUUACAUUUGGGCAUGUGGCAGCAAUUUACAUUUGGGCAUGUGGCAACAACCUCCUUGCUUCAAACUUUAUCUUGGCACACCUUGGUAUAUUUCUAAGCUAUAGGGUAUGGCUAUAAUAGGUUAAAUAUCUCUGAUUGAGAUACAAAGUUAGGGGAAUUAUGAGGGUGAUAGAAGAAAAAGGCUUGUAGUGUUUGGCUGCAAGAGAGCUGAUGGAACACACGAAUGGGUAGGGUGAAAAGAAAGCACAGAAAAUGGUUAUACACGCAGAGCCUAGCAUCACUUCAAUGAGUUCAUUCAUGGGUGAGAGCACGCACCUAAUAUCUGCAAAGAGAAUCAUCCUUAGUAUUCAACCAAAAUGGAACAAUGAGAUCAUUUAGAGUGAAUUGAAGAAAAUAAGUAGAGAUGAGGAAUAGAAACACUUUAAACCCUCUCAAGAAAGCAAUUAGGCUCGAAAUAGCUCACUAGGGUAGUCUCCACUAUUCUCCUUCAAGAAUCUGAGCAUGAUACUUUAGCCACCAGAAUUCUAAGAGCAAAAGCUUUGUGAAGUGUAAAAUUUCUGAUAUGAAAAUCUCAAUGGCAGCUCCAUAGCAUUGGUUGUAUGAAAUUUUUUUUAAAAUAAAAAAAAUAGUGACAAGCGAACGAAAAUUGUAAACACAAAUGAACAAAAAUUGAAAACCUCCCCCCAAGACCUGAAUUGAACAUUGUCCUCAAUGUUAAAGCAUAACAAAGAUGAGUGAGAACAUGUGAAUAAUAAGGGGAAAGUUUAAGACAAAGUAUUAGAGAAACUCCCUCUUGAUGCGAUUAGGUUGACCGCUACCAAGCACCUUAUUCUUCAACACAUGGGUUGCCUCCCAAGAAGCGCCUUAGUUAAUGUCUUGGCAAGACAUUAUGCCAUUAGCUAACUUGAUUGUACGAAGGGAAGAUGAUCCACCACAUGACCAGUUUGAAUUCCAACUGACACUCCCUCAUAGAAUGGCUUUAAACGUUGUCCAUUUACUUUGAAAGUCGAGCCAUCUUUAGGAUUUUGAAUCUCCACAGCUCCAUAGGGAGAUACAUUGACCACGGUGAAUGGGCCAAGCCACCUAGACUUCAAUUUUCCUGGAAAGAGACGCAAACGUGAGUUAAACAAAAGAACUGACAUACCUUUGGUGAAUUCUUUCCGUUGAAUGUUCCUGUCAUGGUAACUCUUGGUACGUUCUUUGUAUAGCUUUGCAUUCUCAUAGGACUCAUGUCGAAUUUCUUCCAAUUCAUUGAGCUGAAACUUUCUAACAUGGCCGGCCUUGUCCAGAUCAAAAUUCAACUUCUUGAUGGCCCAAAAAGCAUUGUGUUCAAGCUCCAUUGGCAAGUGACAGGCUUUCCCAAACACAAGACGAUAAGGGCUCAUUCCGAUGGGAGUCUUAUAUGCAGUCCUAUAAGCCCAGAAUGCAUCAUUGAGCUUGGCAGCCCAAUCUUUCCUUGUACUAUUCACCACCUUCUCUAGGAUCUGCUUAAUUUCUCUGUUGCUUAUUUCUACUUGACCAGAAGUUUGAGGAUGAUAUGGUGUAGAGACUCGGUGGGUGAUAUUGUACUUCUUCAUGAGUGCUUCAAAUAGCUUGUUGCAGAAGUGGCUGCCUCCAUCACUAAUGACAGCCCUUGGAGUACCAAACCUUGUGAAAAUAUUGUCCCUCAAGAACUUCAGGACCACCUUAUGAUCAUUGGUAUCAACAGCAACAAGUAUGUAGGUAUAACCAAAGGAAGAUGGGAAUGGUCCCAUGAAAUCAAUACCCCAUACAUCGAAGAGUUCCACAAAGAGUAUGUUCUUCAAUGGCAGUUCGUUCCUGCGGCUUAUGUUUCCCAUCCUUUGACACCUAUCACACUUAACACAAAAAUUAAAUGCAUCUUUGAAUAGAGUAGGCCAAAAGAAACCUGAUUGCAAAAUUUUAAGUGCUGUUUUCUUGGCUCCAAAGUGGCCUCCACAAGCCAAUUUGUGGCUAUGCCUAAGGAUGCUUUCUUGUUCUUCUUCUGGAACACAUCUUCUAAUGAGUUGAUCUGGGCAAUGCUUGAAUAAGAAAGGUUCAUCCCAGACAUAAUGUUUCACCAUGGAAAAGAAACCCAAUUCUGAAGUUGCUUGUGGUUUCCAAGGCUUCUCCACGUGCUUCUUCACGUCUAAUGCUACUCCAAGAACUUUCUCAUGUCUAGAGUAUGGCAACUAAAGAGGUGAUUUGGGAUGAGUUUGGGUGGUUGGUGAUGGCAGAGAAAGAACAAAUUCGUAGGAAAUGGAAGGAAGGCUUGUUGGAGUUCUUCCCCAUGAUUUUGGGCUGAAUCAAGUGAUAUAGGAUGGCUGGAGUGAAUUCUUAGUCAAUGGAGUGACUCCUUUGCACUUGAGUAGCUGACACACCUCCCUAAAUUGCUCAACAUGUCAGGUCUAAAGUCAAGGAAAGCUGUGGUGAGUCACAUGGCUCAAAGAAAGUAUCCAAGGCUCAACAACUGGAAACUGCAAUCCUGAGCCUGGUGUGUAUAUGGGCUCACGAAUUGGGCUCAACUUCAUUAUCUGAUGCAUUUGAGUAGUCCAUCUUGAAGUUCAGACUCUCAUCUUUCCAACUACAUAUUAUUUGGGCCAAUCCAAGUUCGGAGAAAGAUGUUAAGGCCGAAAUGAUUUGCUAACCCAGUCUGCUCGUUUUUGCACCAUUUUGCAUCUUUUCUUAUCCAAAGACACCAUUGCUACCUAAGGCCCAAUGAACUGAAUGAUAAACAGAAAAGGGAUUAAAAGCACACGUUUGACUCAAUAACAUAACCAAAUCAUAAGCUAGAAGGGUACAAAAUGAUAUACAAUUGUGAACUGAUCAAAU